Molecule: ribosomal RNA, 253 nt
Filed under: uncultured bacterium
Lineage: Bacteria
Description: partial 16S ribosomal RNA
Rfam family: Bacterial small subunit ribosomal RNA
Source: RNAcentral
UACAGAGGUCUCAACCGUUGUUCGGAUUCAUUGGGCGUAAAGGGUGCGUAGGCGGUCGCGUAAGCCAGAUGUGAAAUCCCCGGGCUCAACCUGGGAAUGGCAUUUGGGACUGCAAGGCUGGAGUGUGGCAGAGGAGACUGGAAUUCCUGGUGUAGCAGUGAAAUGCGUAGAUAUCAGGAGGAAUACCGAUGGCGAAGGCAGGUCUCUGGGCUGACACUGACGCUCAUGCACGAAAGCGUGGGGAGCAAACAGG